This 468-nucleotide ribosomal RNA is filed under the name uncultured bacterium. Its description in RNAcentral is "partial 16S ribosomal RNA". It matches the Rfam family "Bacterial small subunit ribosomal RNA", at positions 28 to 507 of the family's 1533-position model. The record is from RNAcentral.
GAUGAACGCUGGCGGCGUGCCUAAUACAUGCAAGUCGAACGGACAGGCCCUGCUUUUGUGGGGUGCUUGAGCGGCGAACGGGUGAGUAACACGUGAGUAACCUGCCUUUGACUCUGGGAUAACUUCAGGAAACCGGGGCUAAUACCGGAUAGGAGCUCCUGCCGCAUGGCGGGGGAUGGAAAGUUUCGGCGGUUGGGGAUGGAAUCGCGGCAUAUCAGCCUGUUGGUGGGGUAGUGGCUUACCAAGGCCUUGACGGGUAGCCGGCCUGAGAGGGUGACCGGCCACAUUGGGACUGGGAUACGGCCCGUACUCCUACGGGAGGCAGCGGUGGGGAAUAGUGCGCGAUGGGCGGAGGCCUGAUGCAGCAACGCCGCGUGCUAGAUGACGGCCUUCGGGUUAUAAACCGCUUUCGCCUAUGACGAAGCGUGAGUGACGGUAAUUGGUAAGGAAGCACCGGCUAACUACGUG